GAGUUUGAUCCUGGCUCAGAUUGAACGCUGGCGGCAGGCCUAACACAUGCAAGUCGAGCGGUAGAGAGAAGCUUGCUUCUCUUGAGAGCGGCGGACGGGUGAGUAAUGCCUAGGAAUCUGCCUGGUAGUGGGGGAUAACGCUCGGAAACGGACGCUAAUACCGCAUACGUCCUACGGGAGAAAGCAGGGGACCUUCGGGCCUUGCGCUAUCAGAUGAGCCUAGGUCGGAUUAGCUAGUUGGUGAGGUAAUGGCUCACCAAGGCGACGAUCCGUAACUGGUCUGAGAGGAUGAUCAGUCACACUGGAACUGAGACACGGUCCAGACUCCUACGGGAGGCAGCAGUGGGGAAUAUUGGACAAUGGGCGAAAGCCUGAUCCAGCCAUGCCGCGUGUGUGAAGAAGGUCUUCGGAUUGUAAAGCACUUUAAGUUGGGAGGAAGGGCAGUAAAUUAAUACUUUGCUGUUUUGACGUUACGACAGAAUAAGCACCGGCUAACUCUGUGCCAGCCG
Molecule: ribosomal RNA, 509 nt
Filed under: uncultured bacterium
Lineage: Bacteria
Description: bacterial SSU rRNA
Rfam family: Bacterial small subunit ribosomal RNA
Source: RNAcentral